Long non-coding RNA from Dermacentor andersoni, 1330 nucleotides. RefSeq lists it as uncharacterized. The record is from RefSeq and is a predicted model, not a curated record. NCBI's taxonomy places the organism in Eukaryota, Metazoa, Arthropoda, Arachnida, Ixodida, Ixodidae.
CGUUCUCACUUAUUUAGAUAGGAGCUCCAGUGGUAAUGCCUCCUCCGAGGCUCACCUCAUUUGCAUUUUUUUUCCUCUUCUUUCUUGCAAUACACAAAAAACUACCUUGACGAUACUUGACGAUUGAUGUCGAUACUUACCCGUUCACUCUUAUUCGCGCCAAUUUCCUAUUCUCUACAGCAUGAGAUAGGCUUUAGCGCAUUGAUGUUGUUUCAACAUGUUACUGGCUGUCAUUACAUGCGUCAUCACCAUUGCAUUAUCGCAUUCUGAAAAGGUACUUUUCCUUCAUGCGUAUAUUUCUGUUUCCAGAAAUUUCUACUUAAACCGGAGGGUGUCUUCGCCAGUCACCUUUUUUUUUUAUUCCACUGUUCUUCAGACACGACAAAGCUGAGCAGUAUGAGACGACGCAGGGAAAGACUCAACGGGAAGUGGCACGCCGGAAUGAGGAGCUCGGUAGAAUCGGAGGCGCUGAGCUCGUCGUGGUGCUGUUGCUCCUGCUCCUGGUCUACCUCUGGUUUUUCAACUCACGCGACUCCACCUUCGGCUGGCUGAGGCUUCUUCCCUCGGACGCAAUGCCCGGUGCUGUCACAACCGUCCUCAUGGUGGCAAUACCUCUGUUCGCUAUCCCGAACUGUCAACGGCGUUCAGCCGGCUACCAUCCGUCGAAGCCGUACGAACCCAUCUUGUCGUGGCAGGAUAUGGCUUCCACAUGCCACUGGAGCCUCGUUUUUCUUAUCUCUGGCAGCCUGGCGUUUACCAAGGCGUCGCAGGUAAGUCCCAAGACUUGCCUAUAGCUCCAGCUCCAACUACCAUUUCGCGCCGCUCGGUGGGUUCUCUGUAUAGAGAAAAAGAACACGCUAACGUGGUAAAUAUCGCCAAAGAAAAAAAAAAGAUUGCAGUUUCUCCCGGAAGGCGAAGCACUGAUUGCGAUAGCAUAUUAGUAAACAGCUAUACAAAGUAUAGCUGUCUAUACUGUAUAGCUGGAUAGUGGCGUUGUCGGUCGUAUAAAUAAGUAAACAUUCACUUACAAUUAACAAGCAUGGUGCCACGCGCGCGCAGGACAACAUAAACAAAUCAUCAUCAUCAUCAUCAUCAUCAUCAUCAUCAUCAUCAUUUAUUCCCUUAAAGGCCCCUGCUUGGGGUAUUACGUAAGGGAUUUACAGAAUGCACUAAACUUGGUUAGCAAUACAAAGUGGGGAGAAACGUGAGAAGUCAUUGAAUCAAUAAAAAGAAGUUAAAAAAAAAACCGGAUACAUAUGGUCAAACAGGGAUCAUUAAGACAUACUAGAAAAAGAAUAUUACACAGCAUACAGACGGUGGAGCGAAAGAC